CCGUGCUAGGCGGGGAGCUAGCGGUGCCCUGUACCCGAGAUCCGCUUCAUGCGGGGCUGAAUCCCCGCCGGAGGCCCGCGAGGUCCGAGGCAGCCUCGGCGCGGGGCGUUGAAGGUCGGGUCCUACGCGACGUCGGGCCGCGAACCGGGUCAGGGCGGGAACGCAGCAGCCCUAAGCGGUUCCCGGCGGGUGCCGUGGGUUCGCCUGGCUGGAGCCUGCCGCGCGGAGCAGCGAUCGAGUCUCACGUGGUCGAUGGCGGGUGCACGG
This 267-nucleotide signal recognition particle RNA is filed under the name Actinomycetota bacterium. RNAcentral describes it as "signal recognition particle sRNA large type". It matches the Rfam family "Bacterial large signal recognition particle RNA". From Rfam's summary of the family: The signal recognition particle (SRP) is a universally conserved ribonucleoprotein involved in the co-translational targeting of proteins to membranes. The record is from RNAcentral. Lineage: Bacteria; Bacillati; Actinomycetota.